ACCAGCAACCUGAUGCCAGCCCAUCGAAGGGGAACCGUGGUCUUCUCCUCGAGAUCGCUCAAGCGUCUGUCGGUCCUGCGAAUGAAAACAAAUGCAAGGAACGCCAGACAAGACAAGCCCCACAAAAUUAGGGCCUCAAGUGUUGAGCCCAAGGACAAGGUGAAGCCUAAGGGC
RNAcentral lists this unclassified non-coding RNA (174 nucleotides) under plant metagenome. RNAcentral describes it as "partial contains 5.8S ribosomal RNA, internal transcribed spacer 2, and large subunit ribosomal RNA". The record is from RNAcentral.